Molecule: long non-coding RNA, 406 nt
Organism: Oncorhynchus tshawytscha (Chinook salmon)
Lineage: Eukaryota; Metazoa; Chordata; Actinopteri; Salmoniformes; Salmonidae
Source: Ensembl
AGAGUAUUAGGUAGAUAUAGUGUGUUAGGGGUAUUAGGUAGAUAUAGUGGUGUAGGCGUAUUAGGUAGAUGCAGUGGUUGUAGAGUAUUAGGUAGAUAUAGUGUGUUAGGGGUAUUAGGUAGAUGUCGUGGUGUAGGCGUAUUAGGUAGAUGCAGUGGUGUAGGGGAAUUAGGAGAUGUAGGGGUAUUGGAUAGAUGUAGUGGUGUAGGGGUAUUGGAUAGAUGUAGUGGUGUAAGGGUAUUAGGUAGAUGUAGUGGUGUAGGGGUAUUGGAUAGAUGUAGUGGUGUAAGGGUAUUAGGUAGAUGUAGUGGUGUAGGGGUAUUGGAUAGAUGUAGUGGUGUAGGCGUAUUAAAAAUCAAAUCAAAUCAAAUUUUAUUUUUAUUUGUCACAUACACAUGGUUAGCAG